UUUCCCGCCAAAAUUUGUUAAAUUAAUUAAAAAUCAGACAGGCAUUUUUUUACCUUUUACAGCACAGAAAAUGAAGGUCAGAGUAUGGAGCAAGGAACAAUUGUAACACAAGACAGAACAACAGUAGUGUUUAAAAAGUCACCAGGUUCAGAAUACGGAAGAUGAAAUCCUGCGAGCUUCCCAGGGAUCCUGUUGGCGCAGUGACUCCUUCCAGGUUCUGCAUCUUGACCAGAGGCUUGUAACUUUUUAACAAGCAUCAUUCCACAGCGAGAGGACGACAGAGGUACAGAGCAUCACAUCCAAGAGAAGUCAGAAAUGGAUUAGUUUUGGGGACCAGUCUUUCCACACCCUCGCUCUUAUGGAACAGAUCCCCUUCAACUUUUGAUAUGAACUGCUUGGAAUUUUCCUAAGGCAGGGUUGGGUCCGUAAAAGGAAUGGCUGAAUUGCAUGCCGGUUUCUCAGAUCUGUGCUGCUCCCCCCCCCCAACAUUAUUUCUGUGGAUGAGGAAGGGUGCAUAUCUGUAUAG
Molecule: long non-coding RNA, 526 nt
Organism: Rhineura floridana
Lineage: Eukaryota; Metazoa; Chordata; Lepidosauria; Squamata; Rhineuridae
Exons: 4
Source: RefSeq, a predicted model, not a curated record